GUAAUCAAAUAAUUAUAAUCCUCUCAAUCCUCAAACCCUUCUUUUAUCAAAGUGAACCCAAGAGAUUCUUGACUCAAUUGAAAUAAUACCUUCUUCUACUUCAAUUUCAAGAAUGAUUAACCUUAAAUAAAAAAACAAGCAAAAGAAACAAAUCAAGGCAUUAGAUCCAAUGUGAGUAUUUUAGUGAAAACUUUCAACUAAAUUAGACAUACAACCCAAAAGUAAAAAAUUCAACAAUAAAAAGGAAAAUAAACUUUGACACUCAAGGAAAACUAAUGAAAUGAUGCUACGCAUAUACGUAAUACGUCUCUUUCCCCCCGUUAUUUU
RNAcentral lists this long non-coding RNA (327 nucleotides) under Carica papaya (papaya). RNAcentral describes it as "long non-coding RNA (CPAP_LNC016409)". The record is from RNAcentral. Lineage: Eukaryota; Viridiplantae; Streptophyta; Magnoliopsida; Brassicales; Caricaceae.